GUCCCGCCUGCCCUGUGAUGUAUAUUUAACGGCCGCGGUAUUUUGACCGUGCAAAGGUAGCGCAAUCACUUGUCUUUUAAAUGAAGACCUGUAUGAAUGGCAUGACGAGGGCUUAACUGUCUCCUUUUUCCAGUCAAUGAAAUUGAUCUUCCCGUGCAGAAGCGGGAAUACAACCAUAAGACGAGAAGACCCUAUGGAGCUUUAAACAAAAACAGAUCUUGUUAAACAUAUCCAAACAAAGAAAUUAAACUAAAAGAACCCUGUUGUUNAUGUUUUUGGUUGGGGCGACCACGGGGAAACAAAUAACCCCCAUGUGGACUGAGAAAACAAUUCUCACAACAAAGAGCCACAGCUCUAAUUAACAGAACUUCUGACCUUNGAGAUCCGGCAACGCCGAUCAACGGACCAAGUUACCCUAGGGAUAACAGCGCAAUCCUCUUUUAGAGUUCAUAUCGACAAGAGGGUUUACGACCUCGAUGUUGGAUCAGGACAUCCUAAUGGUGCAGCAGCUAUUAAGGG
This 519-nucleotide ribosomal RNA is filed under the name Betta cf. smaragdina 1 BOLD:AAB1067. RNAcentral describes it as "partial 16S ribosomal RNA". It matches the Rfam family "Bacterial large subunit ribosomal RNA", at positions 1852 to 2571 of the family's 2925-position model. Lineage: Eukaryota; Metazoa; Chordata; Actinopteri; Anabantiformes; Osphronemidae. The record is from RNAcentral.